Molecule: long non-coding RNA, 601 nt
Organism: Glycine soja
Lineage: Eukaryota; Viridiplantae; Streptophyta; Magnoliopsida; Fabales; Fabaceae
Exons: 2
Source: RefSeq, a predicted model, not a curated record
UUUUUCCCUUUAUAAAUAUACCUUGUAGGGCUAGGCUCUUCAAACCCAUUUUUACACAAUUAAUAAGCUGGUUUGUUGGACAGCAUACGAUGUGGAGAGUUAUUUUGCACAGUGAUGGAACUGUAAGGUGCUGGAAUAAUUCACCAGUGACGAUUGUGAAGCACGUGAAAUAUCGUGAGUGCUGCAGGAAUCUUGCAUGUAGAAUUGGAGGACAUAUUGUGGAUCGCUGCAGCGAGUUCGUGGCCUAUGGAGCUGAAGGGACCAGCGCAGCCAUGACUUGUGCGACAUGUGGCUGCCAUAGAAACUUUCACAGAAAGGAAGAGCAAAUUCAAUUGGUUUGUACCUGUUCUUCUCAUCCUACUACGGGUACCGGUGGUGGAGCUUGAAGACAUUUGAUCAUGUGUUUUCUGAACAAUUAGUCAUAUCUAAAACCAACCUAUGUUAUAUGUUUUCUGUGGAUCUGCUUUAAUUUGCUUGUUUAGUUUAAUUUUAUGGUUUUCGAUUUUCGCUUAAUGAUAUGAUGUAAUGGACUGGUGUUCUUCAUAUCUAGUGUGAUGUAUGGUUUCAUGAGUUUGAAAAGAUGUUUUUCAUGUCAUCUCAA